AUGUAUCCAAUCCAUUACUGUAAUCUGUCCUCAGGGAAGGUGACCGGUCCAAGACCUUAGGCUUCUACAGUGCUCUGUCUGGUGAGAUGGCCAAUUUCCCUCUGUUCAUCACUGCUUCCUACGAGGGCCACAUGGUGUGUGUAGCCAGCGUCCAGAACAACACAGUAAUACAYCCCACAGUCAGUCAAAGACACCACCUCAGAGUAGUCGUCCCAGUCAACGUGCAGAGGUUGUAGUCGAAUCAGGAUCUGUGGAGUUCUACGAAGGGAAGCCACUGUCCCUACGUUGUAACAUCAGCCAAAGGGAACCACGUCUCCUACCAGUGGCUGGUGGAUGGGAAGCCCCUCCCCCUGUCUCCUUUACACAAUCAGACACAGGAACAACUCUUCAUCUACAGGAUGGUGCRCGAGGACAGCGGGGAGUACACCUGUGUUGCUACCAACCAACUCAACUUGACCGAGGUCUACUCCUCCAGGAGCACUGCCAAGGUCAUCAAGGUCAAAGGUCAGAGGUCAGGGGUCAUUUGUAUCACAUAAUUAUGGAGUAAGUAGGGUGAAGUUUCCCCUAGACGCUGAUCUUGAGUCAGUUUAGCAUUUUCCACACUAAUGCUUAAGGUGAGGCUUGGGGGAGGGGAAGCUGAUCCUACAUCUGUCCCUAGGGGAUACUCAGAGAUAGAGGGCUCUAGUGCCAAAAAAAAGUUUUUGCAUGGGCAGCAACAUAGAGGGAUUUCACCAUUAUGAAUUAGUCAACUGGGUGGGACUUCCUAUGGGUUAAGGAAGGAUCACAUAAUUCCAUCCGGGUCAUCAGGAGGGAUC
Salvelinus sp. IW2-2015 is the source of this 815-nucleotide non-coding RNA. The record is from RefSeq and is a predicted model, not a curated record. NCBI's taxonomy places the organism in Eukaryota, Metazoa, Chordata, Actinopteri, Salmoniformes, Salmonidae.